This 421-nucleotide ribosomal RNA is filed under the name uncultured bacterium. RNAcentral describes it as "bacterial SSU rRNA". It matches the Rfam family "Bacterial small subunit ribosomal RNA", at positions 361 to 773 of the family's 1533-position model. The record is from RNAcentral.
AUCUUCCGCAAUGGGCGAAAGCCUGACGGAGCAACGCCGCGUGGGGGACGAAGGCCUUCGGGUCGUAAACCCCUGUCAUGGGGAAAGAAGGGCGUCGGGGUGAACAGCCCCGAUGCCUGACGGUACCCCAAGAGGAAGCCACGGCCAACUCCGUGCCAGCAGCCGCGGUAAUACGGAGGUGGCGAGCGUUGUUCGGAAUUACUGGGCGUAAAGGGCGCGUAGGCGGGGAGGUAAGUCGGGUGUGAAAUCCCUCGGCUCAACCGAGGAACGGCGCCCGAAACUGCCUCUCUUGAGUUCCGGAGAGGAAGGUGGAAUUCCCGGUGUAGCGGUGAAAUGUGUAGAGAUCGGGAGGAACACCGGUGGCGAAGGCGGCCUUCUGGACGGUGACUGACGCUGAGGCGCGAAAGCGUGGGGAGCAAAC